Hydra vulgaris (swiftwater hydra) is the source of this 694-nucleotide non-coding RNA. NCBI's taxonomy places the organism in Eukaryota, Metazoa, Cnidaria, Hydrozoa, Anthoathecata, Hydridae. The record is from RefSeq and is a predicted model, not a curated record.
GUAUGUGUUUGUGUGUAUAUGUAUAUAUGUAUGUAUGUAUAUGUGUGUAUGUAUGUAUGUUUGGUGUGUUUAUAUAUAUUUAUAUAUGUAUAUGUGUAUGUAUGUAUAAUUUAUAUGUGUGUGUCUUUGUGUGUAUGUGUGUUUGAGAGUGAAUGAAUCCAUAAAUGUAGGUAUAGCUUAUAUGGUAUUAUUUAUAGCACUUCCUCAAACGAACGCUUCUAUGCCCUUAAUGUUAUUAAGUAUUAUUAUUAUCUCUAUAAUUGACAUUAUUACUCUUACUAUUACUUACUGAAGUGGGUAAUAUUAGGCUCAAAAAAGUUAUUAAUGUAAAUGCUCAUCGAGCAGAAAACUUACUUGCCAGAAUUCAGUGUCAAGCAGUGUUAAUGUCUGUUAAUUUGAUUCUACUUUAGACAGUUCAAAGCAAAUUGCCUUUGUCAUCACUUGAUUAGUUAGCUUACUGUCGAAACAUGGUUUUAAUUUUGUAAAUUUAAUAUAAUGUAAAAUUUACUCUAUUAUUCAUUAGUCAACAAUUAGAGAGAAGCUGGAGUUUAAUUAAGAAAUGCUGGAAAUUAAUUUAAAUCAAGGUAUUUGCAGGCUUUACUUCACUUUUAUUUUCUGGUACCUGUGUCGUGACAUGUUUUAAAAAGAACUUAACUGAUGUUAAUGCUUUAUAUCGUUAACUACAAUAGUAGAA